Molecule: long non-coding RNA, 1012 nt
Filed under: Cyanistes caeruleus (blue tit)
Lineage: Eukaryota; Metazoa; Chordata; Aves; Passeriformes; Paridae
Description: lncRNA (ENSCCEG00000022901.1)
Source: RNAcentral
AUUUAAUUUAUUAACAAUUACAGUAGAGUAGUAUAGUGAGAAACAAAAAGCAAACUGAAACUACUUUCCUUUCAACUCUUCUCCCCAUCCUGCUCAGGCUCCUUAUCUUCUUCACUCUCAAAUCCUCAAAUCUCCCUCUUGAAGAGAUGGUGGGGAUAGGCAGUGGGGGCUGCAGCUGGUUCAUGAUGCCAUGUGUCUACCAUCCUUCCUCCUCACCCUCCUCCCCUGCUGCAGCCUGGGGUCCCUCCCACUGAGCACAGUCCUUCACAAACUGCUCCACAUGGAACACAGUCCUUCACAAACUGCUCCACAUGGAACACUCCUUCACAAACUGCUCCAGCCUGGAACACAGUCCUUCACAAACUGCUCCACAUGGAACACAGUCCUUCACAAACUGCUCCACAUGGAACACAGUCCUUCACAAACUGCUCCACAUGGAACACAGUCCUUCACAAACUGCUCCAACAUGGAACACUGUCCUUCACAAACUGCUCCACAUGGAACACAGUCCUUCACAAACUGCUCCACAUGGAACACAGUCCUUCACAAACUGCUCCACAUGGAACACAGUCCUUCACAAACUGCUCCACAUGGAACACAGUCCUUCACAAACUGCUCCACAUGGAACACUGUCCUUCACAAACUGCUCCACAUGGAACACAGUCCUUCACAAACUGCUCCACAUGGAACACAGUCCUUCACAAACUGCUCCACAUGGAACACAGUCCUUCACAAACUGCUCCACAUGGAACACAGUCCUUCACAAACUGCUCCAGCCUGGAACACAGUCCUUCACAAACUGAUCCAACAAGGAACACAGUCCUUCACAAACUGCUCCACAUGGGUCCCUCCAUGGAGCAUACUCCUUCAAGAGCAGACUGCUCCAGCAUGAGUCCCCUAUGGAUCACAGAUCUUGCCAGCAAACCUGCUCGCGCGUGGGAACCUCUCCACGGGCUGCAGCUCCCUUCAGGACAUAUCCACUCACUGUGGCAUGAAUUCCCCCAUGGUCUGG